RNAcentral lists this non-coding RNA (140 nucleotides) under Micrococcales bacterium. Its description in RNAcentral is "FMN sequence". It matches the Rfam family "FMN riboswitch aptamer (RFN element)". From Rfam's summary of the family: The RFN element is a highly conserved domain that is found frequently in the 5'-untranslated regions of prokaryotic mRNAs that encode for flavin mononucleotide (FMN) biosynthesis and transport proteins. The record is from RNAcentral. Lineage: Bacteria; Bacillati; Actinomycetota; Actinomycetes; Micrococcales.
AACAUGCUCCAGGGUCGGUGGAAUUCCGAACCGGCGGUGACAGUCCGCGAAGCCCUCUCCGAGGGCCCGAGCUGGUGGAACUCCAGCGCCGACGGUGAUGACGGCGCAGUCCGUCGAAGUCCGGAGGAGAGGCGCAUGGG